UCCCCGGUGGCUCAGAUGAUAAAGAAUCCGCCUGCAAUGCGGGAGACCUGGGUUCGAUCCCUGGUUUGGGAA
Transfer RNA from Ovis aries (sheep), 72 nucleotides. It matches the Rfam family "tRNA". Rfam says of the family: Transfer RNA (tRNA) molecules are approximately 80 nucleotides in length. The record is from Rfam. Lineage: Eukaryota; Metazoa; Chordata; Mammalia; Artiodactyla; Bovidae.